This 99-nucleotide signal recognition particle RNA is filed under the name Flavobacteriaceae bacterium. Its description in RNAcentral is "signal recognition particle sRNA small type". It matches the Rfam family "Bacteroidales small SRP", at positions 9 to 102 of the family's 107-position model. From Rfam's summary of the family: The non-coding component of the signal recognition particle in Bacteroides The record is from RNAcentral. Lineage: Bacteria; Pseudomonadati; Bacteroidota; Flavobacteriia; Flavobacteriales; Flavobacteriaceae.
CGGCAAGUCCUACACAACCAGCUCCCUUUGAACCCUCCAGGGCAGGAAUGCAGCAAAGGUAUUAGGUUGUAGCGGUGUGAUGUAGGUAGCUUGCCAUUU